This 1022-nucleotide ribosomal RNA is filed under the name uncultured bacterium. RNAcentral's name for it is "bacterial SSU rRNA". It matches the Rfam family "Bacterial small subunit ribosomal RNA", at positions 355 to 1375 of the family's 1533-position model. The record is from RNAcentral.
UGAGGAAUAUUGGUCAAUGGGCGCGAGCCUGAACCAGCCAAGUCGCGUGAGGGAAGACGGCCCUACGGGUUGUAAACCUCUUUUGUCGGGGAGCAAGGACUGCCACGAGUGGCAGGGCGAGAGUACCCGAAGAAAAAGCAUCGGCUAACUCCGUGCCAGCAGCCGCGGUAAUACGGAGGAUGCGAGCGUUAUCCGGAUUUAUUGGGUUUAAAGGGUGCAUAGGCGGAAGUUCAAGUCAGCGGUAAAAUCGAGGGGCUCAACCCCUUUAAGCCGUUGAAACUGGGUUUCUUGAGUGGGCGAGAAGUGUGCGGAAUGUGUGGUGUAGCGGUGAAAUGCAUAGAUAUCACACAGAACUCCGAUUGCGAAGGCAGCACACCGGCGCCCAACUGAUGCUGAGGCACGAAAGCGUGGGGAUCAAACAGGAUUAGAUACCCUGGUAGUCCACGCAGUAAACGAUGAACACUAGGUGUGCGGGUCGAAUGAGAUCUGCGUGCCACAGCGAAAGCGUUAAGUGUUCCACCUGGGGAGUACGCCGGCAACGGUGAAACUCAAAGGAAUUGACGGGGGCCCGCACAAGCGGAGGAACAUGUGGUUUAAUUCGAUGAUACGCGAGGAACCUUACCCGGGCUCAAACGGCAGAGGAAAGUUUUUGAAAGGAGGCUGCUCUACGGAGCCUCUGCCGAGGUGCUGCAUGGUUGUCGUCAGCUCGUGCCGUGAGGUGUCGGCUUAAGUGCCAUAACGAGCGCAACCCCUACCGCCAGUUGCCAUCAGGUAAAGCUGGGGACUCUGGCGGGACUGCCGGCGCAAGCUGUGAGGAAGGCGGGGAUGACGUCAAAUCAGCACGGCCCUUACGUCCGGGGCGACACACGUGUUACAAUGGCAGGUACAGCGGGAAGCCACCGAGCGAUCGGGAGCAGAACCCGAAAACCUGUCUCAGUUCGGAUUGGAGUCUGCAACUCGACUCCAUGAGGCUGGAUUCGCUAGUAAUCGCGCAUCAGCCAUGGCGCGGUGAAUACGUUCCC